CGUCUCUGGGGCCGGGAGCGUCCAGCGGCCGUCUCUGAGGUGUCCGGCGAGGCAGGGCGUCUUCCCGCCUGUCCGCUAGAGCUGACUGUGGAACAAUGAAUACGGAACCCGGCCUCCUACCACUACAAUAACACCUGCUGAGCACCUCCAGGUGGCCUGCACUCUGCUAAAACCUUCACUUGGUAUCCUCAUACCUACCAGAGUUGAGAAUAAGGUUUCUGUUGUCGCGAUUCUACAGGAUUUCAAGAGUUCCAUCCCCUGCCUUGACUCUUCAACCUCUCAAGACUUUAUUUGCAACCCUCAGGGCAUCAUGGCAAAUUCUUUGAAAGGCGCAUUAUGAGGGGGUGUUUAAUGCCUCUUGAAUACUUAAAGAAUAUUUCUAUUGAUAAUUAUUUUAUGAAUUUUAUUAAGCAAUGUACUUAAUAGGAAAUUAAAAUAUCAAUAAAAUAAAAUAUUAAAUGUUAAUGUGUAAUGAGUGUUUUGAAUAAACAUAUUCAACAUCAUCUGUUGACUUGCUUAUAAAAUCUAAAAAAUAACAAAUUCCUAUAUGAACUACAGUGAAAAUGCAAACAACACUCUACCACAAAAAUAAUCUUUGCUUCAAUUAUCACAUCUAAG
RNAcentral lists this long non-coding RNA (618 nucleotides) under Heterocephalus glaber (naked mole-rat). RNAcentral describes it as "lncRNA (ENSHGLG00100028926.2)". Lineage: Eukaryota; Metazoa; Chordata; Mammalia; Rodentia; Bathyergidae. The record is from RNAcentral.